Molecule: ribosomal RNA, 405 nt
Filed under: Triticum aestivum (bread wheat)
Lineage: Eukaryota; Viridiplantae; Streptophyta; Magnoliopsida; Poales; Poaceae
Description: partial small subunit ribosomal RNA
Source: RNAcentral
AUGGAUGGGAGUGGUGUUUUAUCCGUGGUCUAUGGCCCACAAGGGGAUGAGUUGAAGAUCAAUUUUCUGGUGGAGUUGCAGCAUCGGAGAGAUGUUUUCCCGGGGCCGUGGAUGGUUCUUGGAGACUUCAGUAUGAUCUUAAGAGCGGAGGAGAAGAAUAACACCAAUCUCAAUAGAUCCAUGAUGAGGAGAUUCAAGGCGUUUGUGGAUAACAAUGAGCUCAGAGAGCUAUACAUGCACGGGAGGAGGUUUACGUGGUCUAAUGAGAGAGAGAAUGUGGUGAUGACCAAAAUUGAUCGUGUACUUGUUUCGGUGGAUUGGGAGCUCUACUACCCAGAUGUUUUACUUCAAGCCCUAUCCAUGAACAUCUCAGACCACGCCCCGUUACACCUUUCCACGGUGGCC